This 73-nucleotide transfer RNA is filed under the name Felis catus (domestic cat). It matches the Rfam family "tRNA". Rfam says of the family: Transfer RNA (tRNA) molecules are approximately 80 nucleotides in length. Their secondary structure includes four short double-helical elements and three loops (D, anti-codon, and T loops). The record is from Rfam by way of RNAcentral. Lineage: Eukaryota; Metazoa; Chordata; Mammalia; Carnivora; Felidae.
GCCCAGCUGGCUCAGUCAGUAGAGCAUGUGACUCCUGAUCUCAGGGUUGUGAGUUUGAGUCCCAAGUUGGGUG